GACUGUGGUUGAAGAAAUUGGAAACAUUUUAGUAGAAAGAUCGGACACAAAAAGGGACGUCUCAAACCCAGCUAACUGGUUUAUUUCUCGACCAUCCUAUAUCAUGAUAGCUUCACGAAUGACUUGCCCACUGGCGCCACACUGGCCUCGCUGUUUUCGACGGUUCUCAGGUUGCCGGGGCGGCUUGUUUGAACUGUUUGAACCACAGGUUUGAACUGUUUCAACGGGAAUCAUGGCAAAUCCACUUGGAGGCUUAUUUAAACCAAAGUCCCGCUGGCGGGAAAAGAUAACGGACGGAGCAGCACUGCGUGGCCUCGCAAUCCCAGCGACCCGACGAGCUCGCGAAGUGGUGCUUGGAAAACGACCCUCCCAAAGCCGACGACGCGCACUCGCACGUACAUGCGCAAGCGAUCACCUCUGUGGACAGCGAAGAAACAUCGUCGCACUGUGACAACUUUGUUGGCGUUCGUUUCAUAAAACCCGUUCUAUAAGGAGCUUGUGUCCACCCUGAAAAGCCUGACGAGCCACGUGCUCGUAUUCAAGCUGGUGCCACGAGGUGGGCCUUUCGGGCAUGCCAGGGAGGAGGAGAGGCUGUCCCUGAACCGCCUACUAGUACGGAAGGUGUUGCCCUCGGCGUUACCAUCGUGAAUGUCGACUACCUCUUCUCAACCGAGGCAACAUGGUCAACCUCGACAAGCUGGCUACCGACCAGUACCACGUGUGCCGUGUCCGCGGCAUCCAGCGUCUUGCAUUUGCGCUCGGCAAGGCACUCGCAAAACUUUAAGGUAAUUCUAUCUUUGGUGGGUGCUGUGCCCCAUUCUAACUGUUGUGUCCAGAAGUAGACACACGGA
This 851-nucleotide long non-coding RNA is filed under the name Ixodes scapularis (black-legged tick). RNAcentral's name for it is "uncharacterized LOC121835002". The record is from RNAcentral. Lineage: Eukaryota; Metazoa; Arthropoda; Arachnida; Ixodida; Ixodidae.